GAACCAUGUAACUGAGCCUUCUGUGGGUU
This 29-nucleotide non-coding RNA is filed under the name Mus musculus (house mouse). The record is from RNAcentral. Lineage: Eukaryota; Metazoa; Chordata; Mammalia; Rodentia; Muridae.